GCGGAUAUGGCGGAAUAGGCAGACGCGUUAGAUUCAGGUUCUAAUCUGAGUAAUCAGGUGGAGGUUCAAGUCCUCUUAUCCGCA
This 84-nucleotide transfer RNA is filed under the name Ruminococcus sp. Its description in RNAcentral is "tRNA-Leu". It matches the Rfam family "tRNA". From Rfam's summary of the family: Transfer RNA (tRNA) molecules are approximately 80 nucleotides in length. Their secondary structure includes four short double-helical elements and three loops (D, anti-codon, and T loops). Lineage: Bacteria; Bacillati; Bacillota; Clostridia; Eubacteriales; Oscillospiraceae. The record is from RNAcentral.